Molecule: long non-coding RNA, 926 nt
Organism: Lolium perenne
Lineage: Eukaryota; Viridiplantae; Streptophyta; Magnoliopsida; Poales; Poaceae
Source: RefSeq, a predicted model, not a curated record
AUUUCUAUUCCGCCGUCGACUUUGUUUCGGUCUUUCAGCGAGGUCACACGCGCGUCCGCGCGAUUGAGAUCCAACGGUGCGCAUCAAAGUCCCAACCCGCAGCCUAUUUUGUGUGUACGUUUUGCCGGGUACGCGUAGUGAGGAGCUGUGCUCUGACCUGUUCCCCACCUCCCACCACUGAUACUGCCUUCGAGGCUUGGAGAGAGCGAGGCAUACCUGUUCCCCAUUUCUGACGAUUCGCUCGAUUUCACCGGCGAUUCGCGACGCCGGGAGGAGAUUCGUCAGCGCCGAUUGAUUCCUCGCGGAGGGGGCUGCUUCCUCGCGCCGGUGGCCGCUUCCUCCCGCGGGCAAAGCUUCCUCGCGACGGCGAAGCAUCCUUGAGCGGGCACGCGCCGGCGAAGCUUCCUCGCGCCGGUGGCUCCUUCGCCGUGUUGAUGGCCGCUUUCCAGCAUUAAUUAACAGAGUAUUUACAUCGUUGUGCCACAUCCUCACGGGCGGCGGCAACAUCCUCUUCGCGGGCACGUCGUCACAGCAGCAGCCAAAACUUCAGCGUCACCGGUCACAUUCCUACGGGGUCGGCUACAUCCCAGUGUCUCCUGAUACAUCCAACUGUAAGGCAAUCACAUUUCUAUCCUGAAGUCGCUCGAUGUAGUAGUUUGAGUAUUCUCAGUGUUCAGGCUAGUGUUCGGCUGAUCGAUGUACUUGCGUUGAUAUGUUAGUAGCACAAAUUAGUUACAGUAGUGGAAGAGUACCAUCUAGUAAUAAAAUUGACAGGAGAUGUUUUGAGAUCCUGAUGUAACACGUCGGUGACUCGGUGUUGUUUCUGUUGUUCGGGUUUAGAUCGAUGGAGGACUUGAUUUCGUUGUGCAAAAGAUGAUGGGAUCCGAUGGAGAGCACGUACGUAGAAAAGAUGAUGUUUUGGACCA